Melanotaenia boesemani (Boeseman's rainbowfish) is the source of this 524-nucleotide long non-coding RNA. RefSeq lists it as uncharacterized. The record is from RefSeq and is a predicted model, not a curated record. The transcript is spliced from 3 exons. Lineage: Eukaryota; Metazoa; Chordata; Actinopteri; Atheriniformes; Melanotaeniidae.
GACCACUGAACGAGAACCUGAGAACCUCUCUGGAUGUUUCCCCUGACAGGACGUGUUGGUAAAUACAUCAACUAGCUGUGGAUUCAUCCAGCCAGAACCAAAACGAGUCUCCAAGUUUUCCACAACUUUUCCUGUUUAGUCCUGCAGCAGAAUGUGUCCUCAGACCCACAUUUGAGAUGUUCUGCUGUGUCUUAAUCGUCUGACAGAAGAACAUCAGGAGCAGGAGGUCUUCGGCGAUGACCUUAGCCACGAGCAAAGACACCACAGAGCAAGUCUCUGGUGCUUUGGCUGACCAGGCUUUUCACACCAGAACACCAGCUAAUUUCUUUCUAAAAACUCGAGAGUUUCAGCAACAUGAAAGUUGUGCUUUAUGGUUCCACGUUGCUGGAGAGGUUCUGGUUCCACGUUGCUGGAGAGGUUCUGGUACCACGAGGCUGGAGAUGUUCUGGGUCCACGUUGCUGGAGAUGUUCUGGUUCCACGAGGCUGGAGAGGUUCUGGUUCCACGUUGCUCGAGUUGUACUGG